CAGUAGCCGCGGGAAUACGGAGGGGGCUAGCGUUGUUCGGAAUUACUGGGCGUAAAGCGUACGUAGGCGGUUUUGUAAGUUAGAGGUGAAAGCCCGGAGCUCAACUCCGGAAUUGCCUUUAAGACUGCAUCACUUGAACGUCGGAGAGGUGAGUGGAAUUCCGAGUGUAGAGGUGAAAUUCGUAGAUAUUCGGAAGAACACCAGUGGCGAAGGCGGCUCACUGGACACGUAUUGACGCUGAGGUACGAAAGCGUGGGGAGCAAACAGGAUUAGAUACCCCUGUAGUCCCUGUCUCUUAUAC
This 301-nucleotide ribosomal RNA is filed under the name uncultured bacterium. Its description in RNAcentral is "partial 16S ribosomal RNA". It matches the Rfam family "Bacterial small subunit ribosomal RNA", at positions 509 to 807 of the family's 1533-position model. The record is from RNAcentral.